Molecule: non-coding RNA, 1323 nt
Organism: Labrus bergylta (ballan wrasse)
Lineage: Eukaryota; Metazoa; Chordata; Actinopteri; Labriformes; Labridae
Source: RefSeq, a predicted model, not a curated record
CUUUCAAUCUUUCUUUUUUCCUGGACUUGUAGUUCCCAUCACAUUGGAAGCUGCCAAGGUUCCCAUAGUGAUAAGGUCCACAUCUUGUUCCUGUGCUGCAGGGAGAGCCCUUUGGAACCACUUGGUGGGGCUUCUUUAUCUAAGUGCCCGUUUCAGCACCUCGAACUACAAGAUUGUGCCAUUACAUGUGUCUUGCACUGACAGACUGCAGACCUGGCACAGGCCUCGGACCCAGGGCCCCUUCCUGACCCGGGUGUGAUGUCUGUUGGAGAGAAAUUGAAAGACAUUCAGCCACAGCUGGGGAUCUGUAAGAUUCUUCAUGGACUUGAGGAACUCACCAUGGUGGAGUCCAAAUUUGGUCUUGUGCCCUUUGGAUCAGUUCUAUCAUACCAGUGCCCCCUAGAGAGCGUGCCCUGGUGGGGAAAGUGGACGCGGGGAAGAUCAAGCACAAGUGGGAGAACCUCAAACAAAAAUACAAGGGUGGUCCCAGUGGUCAUCACCCUGGUCAUGGAAGGCCCCCUCCUCCACCUCUGGCUCCACCAAAUCCCCAUUGUUGAUGGAGAGGUUGUGGAGGAAGACACAGGUCGACACCACUGCAGGAACAAAGGUUGGCUUGAUCUACAGGAAAAAAUACAAGUUUAAUGUAGCUGUAUAAUGAAAGUGAACAUGAUUGAAUAGCUCGCAUUACGCUGCUCUUUUGUUUUCAUUAUUGUCUCAGAAUGUCCAUACCUGUAUUACUUUGCUGCUUAUAUUUAAUAGCCACUGCUCAGCACUUAUUCAACUAGUGUGUACUUAGAAUGGCUGCCAUGACGUGAGUGGGUGCUACAAGCUGCAGUCUGCUGGCUCAAUUAUUUGUCUAUUGAGGUCGCUGAGAUUUAUAUUUCCACUCUAAACUUUGCUGAUACUAAUGAACUGCUUGUGGUGAAUCAAAAAACGUAAACUAUAGCAGCCUUCAGCAUCAAACCAACGAGUUAUUGGACCACAUCCUUCUUAUAUUGAGGGAAAAAGUUUGCUGGCCUCACAAUGGGUGAUGCGCAAAUGACUCUCCAAAGUGUCUUGGAUAUGAUGCAGCACAUGAAGCUUGACAUGAUUUCACACAUGGACACUAAAAUGGAUCAACUUGGAGCUAGUCUGACCAAAAUAGAUGGCUCUCUUAGUGUGCCUGGAGAGCAGGUCAACUGGAGAGCAGGUCAACUGGAGAGCAGGUCAACUGGAGAGCAGGUCAACUGGAGAGCAGGUCAACUGGAGAGCAGGUCAACGAGCUUGAGCACAGAGUUAGCUCGAACGAGGAUGACAUCACAGACCUGGCCAGACGUGUAAAAG